This 558-nucleotide ribosomal RNA is filed under the name Bifidobacterium pseudocatenulatum. RNAcentral's name for it is "bacterial SSU rRNA". It matches the Rfam family "Bacterial small subunit ribosomal RNA", at positions 146 to 715 of the family's 1533-position model. The record is from RNAcentral. Lineage: Bacteria; Bacillati; Actinomycetota; Actinomycetes; Bifidobacteriales; Bifidobacteriaceae.
UCUCCUGGGAAAAGGGUGGUAAUGCCGGAUGCUCCGACUCCUCGCAUGGGGUGUCGGGAAAGAUUUCAUCGGUAUGGGAUGGGGUCGCGUCCUAUCAGGUAGUCGGCGGGGUAACGGCCCACCGAGCCUACGACGGGUAGCCGGCCUGAGAGGGCGACCGGCCACAUUGGGACUGAGAUACGGCCCAGACUCCUACGGGAGGCAGCAGUGGGGAAUAUUGCACAAUGGGCGCAAGCCUGAUGCAGCGACGCCGCGUGCGGGAUGACGGCCUUCGGGUUGUAAACCGCUUUUGAUCGGGAGCAAGCCUUCGGGUGAGUGUACCUUUCGAAUAAGCACCGGCUAACUACGUGCCAGCAGCCGCGGUAAUACGUAGGGUGCAAGCGUUAUCCGGAAUUAUUGGGCGUAAAGGGCUCGUAGGCGGUUCGUCGCGUCCGGUGUGAAAGUCCAUCGCUUAACGGUGGAUCUGCGCCGGGUACGGGCGGGCUGGAGUGCGGUAGGGGAGACUGGAAUUCCCGGUGUAACGGUGGAAUGUGUAGAUAUCGGGAAGAACACCAACCG